This is a non-coding RNA of Peromyscus maniculatus bairdii (prairie deer mouse), 700 nucleotides long. NCBI's taxonomy places the organism in Eukaryota, Metazoa, Chordata, Mammalia, Rodentia, Cricetidae. The record is from RefSeq and is a predicted model, not a curated record.
UGGGGUUCUUAGAAUUAUAGAACCAAUCCCAGGCGAGACCAGCUCCCUGUCAAACGUCAUCUGACUACCCUUAGGACAGAAGGAGACUCAUCCCAUGGCCGUCACCUCAUCACGUCAACACCCCAGGCGGCUCACCGUUAAUCCAAAGAGGAUAUACCACCGAUGCUUAUCCACUCCAGGGCUACACUCACAGCUGAGCUCCUCGGAAAAGUGGCAGCAUCACUUAAGAUUCCACUCAUCUCUCUAACCAGCCCAACUGGAUUCCAGCUGUCUGUUCCUGAAUAGGUGACUACCAUCUUCAGUGUGGAGUAUGAAAUCCAAGUGGAGAGUGUGCUGGUCCUGCUUCUUAGAUUUGUCUAGUAAAACCUAGUCCAAGGCCCUUCACCGACCAAUGAAUAAAAUACUGAAGUCUGAGAGACAUGGGCUGCUAUCCACAUGAGAAUGCUGCGGUAAAGGGUCACAUGCUUUGAUCUGCUUUCUACGGGCUGGGCUGACUUUAGCCAAGAGCUCCGCUAAGAUUCAGUCCAGGUGAUGUAGUGGGAGACCUGUGACAAAAUCACGCUGAAGGGGCUAGAACCACACUCUAACUGGGAAGUGCCCCACCCAGUCGCCAGCAGACCAAGAAAUGAAUAAAAGCCCACAAUAAAUGGGAGCUUUUUAUUAAAGAUGAAUGUAGCAUCUAUUUCUAGAAGAUUCAGAA